GGGCCAUCUUCUGUUCCUUGUUUUGUGGCCUUUCCAUUGGAAGCUUGCAGCACAGCAGCUUGCUUCAUCAAACUAGCAAGAGAGAGGGAGUCUACUAGCAAGAUGUGAUCAUUAUAUGUGGUGCCACUUGGCUAUCCUUCAGGCUUCUCUAAAGUAGCACUUUCAAAAAUGGACACAAGGACCUGCAGGGGCAUAUAUUUCCAUUAUCUGAAUGACCAGACAACUUACAGUCCGUGGACUCGCUCUGCUCAGUGAGUCAGAGCCUCCCAUGUGUGAUCUGAAACUAGGCCCCUGUGAAGGGCAGGGAAAGACAGAACAGGCAGGCCAGGCCAGAUGGGCAGGUGACAGGUGCACUGAGCAAGGUACUUACAAAAUUUUGCAUCGAGGUUUCUGUUCAACUAAAGGCAAGGCUGAAAAGUCACCCCAUGGAAUGAAUGCCCGGCUUCCCAUGGGUUCUGGAACCUCGGAGCCAUCACCUACUUCCCACCAACCAGCAGAAAGACCCGAAGAUCAUCAGGACUCAUUUGAGACCCAUGUGGAAAAUGGGCUGCCAUGGUCUCGGUGAACAGGCACAGAAAGUGUGACACCUCCAUGCCAUGGAAUGCCACUCCAUAAUAACUAGAAAAUAAAUUAUUGAUACACCCAGCAACUUUUAUGGAUCUCAAAGGUAUUCCUUUAAGUGAAUAAAACCCGCAUGGAAAGGUAAGAUACGGUGUGAUUCAAUUUAUAUAACAUGCUCAGAGGAACAGCAAUAGAGGGCCAGAAUGAAU
RNAcentral lists this long non-coding RNA (770 nucleotides) under Mustela putorius furo (domestic ferret). RNAcentral's name for it is "lncRNA (ENSMPUG00000027876.1)". Lineage: Eukaryota; Metazoa; Chordata; Mammalia; Carnivora; Mustelidae. The record is from RNAcentral.